UGGUGUUGCCACACCACCCUGAGAAUGCCUAAUAUUGUCUGAUCUCAGAAGCUAAGCACAGUCGGGCCUGAUUAGUACUUGGAUGGGAGACAGCUUGGGAAUCCUGGGUGCUGCAGUCU
This 119-nucleotide ribosomal RNA is filed under the name Tyto alba (common barn owl). Lineage: Eukaryota; Metazoa; Chordata; Aves; Strigiformes; Tytonidae. The record is from RNAcentral.